UAAACUAGAUCAACCCUACAAAAUGUCAAUUCUAACAUUCCCUACUCCCCACUGAGUGCUUGAACUACUCAGCUGCAGAACCAGGCUCCUUCCUGUGAAAGUGGAUUCUGGCGGUUGUGCUUCCGAACUAAGGGAAUGGAGACCAGUCAUCUACAGAAAGUGCACAGACACUCUCUGGUUGCUCCUCUUCUUUCUUUUCUGGGCUGGUUUGAUGUUUAUAGCUGGCUAUGCUGUGAUGGCUGGUGCUGCAGAAAGACUUUUGCUUGGAUAUGACAGCUUUGGGAACAUAUGUGGUAGAAAGAACACUCCUGUAAAAGGGGCACCCCUUUCUGGACAGGACAUGACUAAUAAAAAGUAUGUCUUCUUUCUGAACUCAUGCAGCAUGGAAAUGCAAAGCCUCAAAAUCAGCUCACUUUCCUUGUGUGUGUCUAGUUGUCCACAAGAGCAACUCAACUCUUUGGAAGACCUCCAGAGUUUUGCAAGGAAUAAUGGUUCUUGUCUUUGUGUUUACAACCUGAACAUUUCCAGUUACACACUAAAUCCAAAGGCAGCUGAUCUAUGUCCCACGCUGCCAGUUCCACCAAGUAAAUCUUUUCCAUUAUUUAAUCGAUGUGUUCCACAAAAUCCUGAAUGCUAUUCCAAAUACGCAUCUGUCUUAAUAAGUAUGGUUAAUGAAGUGGAUGUUUUUCACCGCAUUCUGAGUGGAAUAUUGGCAGGAAGAGAUACUGUGAUAGGACUGAGCAUCCUUGCACUAGCCUUCUCUGUUAUACUAGUUUUAGUGUUCAGAUUCAUUCGGACACUUCUGAUCCAUACUUUGAUUGCACUGGUUGUGUUCGGGUUGUUAUUUGUCUCAGGUGUUCUCUGGUGGCUCUAUUACGACUACAGGAAUGAUCCCAGCACUGAGUUGGAAACAGAAAAGGAAAAUGUAAAAUUUCUACUUGGAUAUGCUAUCUUCUCAACAGUAGUUACUAUUGUUCUGCUUUCCCUUAUACUUGUGCUAAGAAAGAGGCUUCAGUUCACUGUACAACUCUUCCGAAUUGUUGGUAAAAUAAUUGGCAGAAUUCCUCUCCUCCUGUUUCAACCACUCUGGACGUUUCUGAUUCUCAUUGUGUUCUGGGUAUUUUGGGUUGCUGUUCUACUUAGUUUAGGAACUGCAGGUACGGCACAGACUACUUCAGGAGGACAAGUAGAAUACAGAGGUCUGUCUGGAAUUUGCCACAUGGCAUGGUAUCAUUUUGUUGGCCUUAUCUGGACUAGUGAAUUCAUUCUUGCCUGUCAGCAGAUGACGAUUGCUGGGGCAGUGGUUACUUGUUACUUCAACAGAAAUAAAAAUAGCCCACCACCUCACCCAGUCCUGUCUUCCAUAUCAGUUCUUUUUUGCUAUCAUCUAGGAACUGCUGUAAAAGGCUCAUUUCUAAUCACAAUACUGAGAAUACCAAGAAUUGUUCUCUUGUACCUUUACAAUAUCCUAAAACAAAAGGAGAGUGCAUGUGCAAAGUGCCUUUUCAAGUGCUGUUUCUGCUGGUUUUGGUGCCAGGAAAGUUGCCUAAGAUACUUUAACCAGCAUGCAUACACAACUACAGCCAUAAAUGGGACAAAUUUUUGUACAUCAGCAAAGGAUGCUGUCUUUAUUUUGGCAAAGAAUUCUCCCAAACUUGCAUCCAUUAGCUGUUUUGGAGAUUUUAUCCUAUUUCUAGGAAAGGUGUUUGUUGUAUGUUUUACUGGUUUUGGAGGAUUGAUGGCAUUUAACUACCAUCGGGAGUUGCAAGCUUGGGUGGUUCCUCUGUUGCUGGUUGGAUUUUUUGCAUACGUGAUGUCCCACAGCUUUCUGUCUGUGUUUGAAGUGACAGCAGAUGUCAUGUUCCUUUGCUUUGCUAUUGAUAUGGAAACAAAUGAUGGAUCCGCAGAGAAGCCGUACUUCGUAGAUCAAGAACUGCUGGUAAACCCCAGUGAUAACAGCAAAGAUACUUGAGCCAUUGUCAGCUUUUGGGACUUUUUCAUUCCCCAAGACCUAGUAAUUUGAACACACAACCCAUGCUAUUUCCUUCCCAACACCUUAGAACAGGAUGAGCUCAGGGACACAAAUAUGUGAAUUUAUAAAAUGAAGUAAAUGGCUCCCUCUGACUCCUCUGUGCUAGCUAUGAUCUGCUGCCUUCUUUUAGAUCAUACCCUCUAAGUAACAGCUGACUUUUUAGGCCUUUAUUAGUUAUAUGUUCAAUAUAUGGCUGGUAAUUAAAAACUAUGAAUGAAUAGAUGAGCUAGCUGCAGACACCGAACCAUGGGGUGCCCUAAGAUUAGAUGGUUGUAUUUGUUGUGACAUACUGUACAGUGAUGAGCAAAAGUAAACAAGGAGCUUCUCGUUGCCAGCAGCAGGUCAUCCUGUAGUUCUGAACAAACUUCAUGCAAACUCGAGUUGCUCUGCUUCAUACCUAUACAGAUUCUUUUGCCAAAAUACUGUCUUCUGUCUCUUGAUUUAAUUCUUCUUCCGGAGUGAUUGUUCUGUGACUUUACCCUCAUAAUUACUGUAUUGUAUUACAAGCAUUUCCAUGGAGAAUCAUAAUGCAGCUAAUAGUGAUGGAAAGCUUUAGUUAUCCGAAGCAUUUUAAUGUAUAUAUGCCAUCCCUUUCAUCUUAAGAAUAUCUGAAGAUGCAGAUUUUUUUUCCUUUCAUGCUGUUUUUGCCAGUUCUGUCUUUUCCUUUAUAAACCAUGCGACAAAGAAAAUCUUAGUGAUUCACAAAAACAAACUCAGCAGCCAGAAUAGCUCAUAUGAUACGAAUAUUCUGGAUGGAUUUCUUCAGGACAGUGUCGGAAGAAUUAAUCUGCUUUUUUUUUUUUUUUUAAUGCAGCUGUUAGAUUCCCUGUAAUGUUCAUAGAAUUUAGUUGAAAACAAACAAAAAAAAAGGCAGCCUAAAGAUAGGCUUAACCCUUUGUGCAGAAGAAAGCAGAUAGAUAUUCUUUGGCUUCAAUUCAGAACAGUACUUUAGCACAUGUCCCGAAUAGGAAUAUGUUACUGAAUGGAAAACUGAAGCCUUGACCUCUGUUCUUCUCCCUCUGUUUUGCCAACUGCUAAAAUACUUCUUAAGCCAACUCUCCUUCAUGAAACAAAUAGGCCACUUCCAAACUUUGUGGUAGUUUCUCUUUAACAGUGGCCUUAAUUCCUUGUAAUUAGCCAUGCCCUAGGUCUUCCAGUGAAGAGAGGACUUCCCACAGGGGUAAAGGAGUCCAGUAAGCAGGGCAGACUGUAUAACCUUGUAUGGAAAAAUUGGGGGCAGCACAUCCAAACUCCUCCUCAUUGCCUGAUAAAGUUUUCUUAUGUAGGCAAGAACUUGGAGUUUUCCAACACAUGAAGGCAUGUGAUGUGGGACGUCUAUGUUACAAACAUCUGGGGGUGGAAGGGAGGCUCCCUGGCCCUCAGGACAAUAUGCAGCAGUGGGUGGAGAGCUGGGUGAGGGAUUUCAGCCAGCCAGAGUCCUCAUUCCUGUAGUAGGGGAUGUAACAGAGAGUCUUGAUUCAUCCUUCUCAGUUGUAUUCAUCACCCUUGCUGCCUCUGCAGAGUCCCUCCCGGUAUCACUCAGUGUCAUCCAGACUUUUGUGAGUCAGAGUAACAAGUUAACAGAAGGGCAAAAACACAGAAGCAUGACACCUUUCCAGGACAACGAAGAUGAAACAGAGCUCCAACCUAUG
Athene cunicularia (burrowing owl) is the source of this 3684-nucleotide RNA transcript. It is a transcript of the gene named solute carrier family 44 member 3, with no coding region annotated. Lineage: Eukaryota; Metazoa; Chordata; Aves; Strigiformes; Strigidae. The transcript is spliced from 15 exons. The record is from RefSeq and is a predicted model, not a curated record.